GAUGAACGCUGGCGGCGUGCCUAAUACAUGCAAGUCGAGCGAACAGAUAAGGAGCUUGCUCCUUUGACGUUAGCGGCGGACGGGUGAGUAACACGUGGGUAACCUACCUAUAAGACUGGGAUAACUUCGGGAAACCGGAGCUAAUACCGGAUAACAUUUGGAACCGCAUGGUUCUAAAGUGAAAGAUGGUUUUGCUAUCACUUAUAGAUGGACCCGCGCCGUAUUAGCUAGUUGGUAAGGUAACGGCUUACCAAGGCAACGAUACGUAGCCGACCUGAGAGGGUGAUCGGCCACACUGGAACUGAGACACGGUCCAGACUCCUACGGGAGGCAGCAGUAGGGAAUCUUCCGCAAUGGGCGAAAGCCUGACGGAGCAACGCCGCGUGAGUGAUGAAGGGUUUCGGCUCGUAAAACUCUGUUAUUAGGGAAGAACAAACGUGUAAGUAACUGUGCACGUCUUGACGGUACCUAAUCAGAAAGCCGCGGCUAACUACGUG
This 497-nucleotide ribosomal RNA is filed under the name uncultured bacterium. Its description in RNAcentral is "partial 16S ribosomal RNA". It matches the Rfam family "Bacterial small subunit ribosomal RNA", at positions 28 to 507 of the family's 1533-position model. The record is from RNAcentral.